This 140-nucleotide small nuclear RNA is filed under the name Zea mays. Its description in RNAcentral is "U2 spliceosomal RNA". It matches the Rfam family "U2 spliceosomal RNA". Rfam says of the family: U2 is a small nuclear RNA (snRNA) component of the spliceosome (involved in pre-mRNA splicing). The record is from Rfam by way of RNAcentral. Lineage: Eukaryota; Viridiplantae; Streptophyta; Magnoliopsida; Poales; Poaceae.
AUAUUUUUCUCGCCUUUUGGCUAAGACAAAAUGUUGUAUUUGGUCUUAUCUAAUUAAUAUUUGGUAUGUGGGUCAUAUAUUUACUUUAAUAUUAAAUUUAUUUUUACGGUACUCUGCUAGUAUCGUCUGAUCCAUCCCAA